Molecule: unclassified non-coding RNA, 120 nt
Filed under: Oryza sativa (Asian cultivated rice)
Lineage: Eukaryota; Viridiplantae; Streptophyta; Magnoliopsida; Poales; Poaceae
Description: partial microRNA MIR472a-6-as precursor
Source: RNAcentral
UUCAUAAUGUAAGUUAUUCUAGCAUUUCCUAUAUUCAUAUUGGUGUUAAUGAAUCUAUACCUAGAUUCAUUAACACCAAUAUAAAUGUGGGAAAUGCUAGAAUGACUUACAUUGUAGAGG